Molecule: ribosomal RNA, 61 nt
Filed under: Penicillium oxalicum
Lineage: Eukaryota; Fungi; Ascomycota; Eurotiomycetes; Eurotiales; Aspergillaceae
Description: partial 28S ribosomal RNA
Source: RNAcentral
GGUUGACCUCGGAUCAGGUAGGGAUACCCGCUGAACUUAAGCAUAUCAAUAAACGGAGGAA